GUUACUGCUAUCGGAGUUCGAUUAAGCCAUGCGAGUCUAAAGGUUUCUUCGGAAACCUUGGCGGACUGCUCAGUAACACGUGGAUAACCUACCCUUGGGACUGGAAUAACCCCGGGAAACUGGGGAUAAUACCGGAUAGAUCAGGGAUGCUGGAAUGCGCCUUGAUCCAAAGCUCCGGCGCCCAAGGAUGGGUCUGCGGCCUAUCAGGUAGUAGUGGGUGUAACGUACCUACUAGCCAACGACGGGUACGGGUUGUGAGAGCAAGAGCCCGGAGAUGGAUUCUGAGACACGAAUCCAGGCCCUACGGGGUGCAGCAGGCGCGAAACCUUUACAAUGUGCGAAAGCAUGAUAAGGGAACUCCGAGUGCCAGUAUCUAAUAUUGGCUGUCCUUGUGCCUAAAACGCACAAGAUAGCAAGGGCCGGGUAAGACCGGUGCCAGCCGCCGCGGUAACACCGGCGGCCCGAGUGGUAGCCGCUAUUAUUGGGUCUAAAGGGUCCGUAGCCGGUUCGAUAAGUCCUCUGGGAAAUCUGGUUGCUUAACAAUCAGACUGCCAAGGGAUACUGUCGAACUUGAGACCGGGAGAGGUAAGAGGUACUUCAGGGGUAGGAGUGAAAUCUUGUAAUCCCUGGGGGACCAUCUGUGGCGAGGGCGUCUUACCAGAACGGGUCUGACGGUGAGGGACGAAAGCUGGGGGCGCAAACCGGAUUAGAUACCCGGGUAGUCCC
Molecule: ribosomal RNA, 726 nt
Filed under: uncultured archaeon
Lineage: Archaea
Description: bacterial SSU rRNA
Rfam family: Archaeal small subunit ribosomal RNA
Source: RNAcentral